UUCCUUUCCUUAGCCAACCGCGGUCGGCGGUCCGGAGGGGGUGGCGGAGACGGGGCCGAUGUUUUCCGCGGGGUCCGCGCGGGAGAGGAGGGGCGCGAGGCCAGGGAAGGAGAGAAGGCUUGAGAGAGCAAGCGCUGCCCGGCGCGGGGGUGAGAGCGGAGGAGCGCUAACGCGCUGACAAAGGAGGAGAGGGGCAAAGAGAGCAGGGAGUUAGAGCUAAGCGAAGCUUAGCGCAGACUAAACUCAAGCAACUGAGCGGCAGCGGCAACGGAACGGCACAAGCGUCCCAUACGCUCAGGCCGGGCCGGAGGAGGCGGAGGCACGCUCGAGCCCUUCGCUAGCUAGCUGGCUCCUUAAGUAGGCAAACCCUGGAGGUAGACCAAACGCCUAGGAGGAGUCUUAGACAAAACACACGAACGUUGACACCUAGGGCACAAGGAGCAGCACAAGCGCAGGGGCGCGCAACCAACGUACGUCCUAGCAGCUCGGUCCAAAAACCUUAACCUCGAGACUAUACCUCGGCCUCCGGCUCCGUUCCAGUCAAAGGGCACGCUCAAGUCUAGCGAAGGAGACGCAAGCAGGCUCUACGGUCUAAAGUUAGUUUACCUAUGUACCGGGCACACUAGGACAGCAACGGGCUCGCGACACCAAAUAAAUAAGGGAUAGCAGGCAAUCAAGUUCCACAUAGGUAAGCUCCGGAAGUUAAGCACCUUCUAAGAGAAUAUAACACGGCCGACUAGAGCCAAAACCAUACAGAACACGAGAGUGGGAUCUACGUCUCCUUCGGUCUCCCGCGCGAUCAAGACGCCUCUACCUCCAAACUAAAUAAAAGUACCAAUAAAACUAAGCAGCCAAUUCCAAGUCGCCAAUAAGACUUAAAGACUAACAAAUUCCAAUCCCAAGUCGCCAAUAACAGGACUAUACCGGUCUAGAAGAGCAUAGUACUUCGGACACUAGAGAAUGGUCGGACUUGGACGCUAGACGCAAACCUAUUAUAUUUACCUAGGGAGGGUUAAAAUCAGUCAUCAAUUGCCGUACGUUAAGACUAGACUUAAGAAACGAACAGGUCUUUAAUAUUUAACCUAAUGUGCGGUAUCGCCCUCGUUGUAGACGCAAACCUACUAAUUAAUGGGGGAGAUAAAUUAAGGAAGUAGACGUGUCAAGUUAGAGUCAGCCAAGACUAAAUCCAAACAACUACCAACAGGUCUUUAACCCUAAUAUACCGAAUGGCCCUCGCUGAACAGUAAGAAGGAGUGGACACAAACCUACUAGUAAGAGAGAAACAAAUAAAGGAAAAGAAGUGUCAAGUUAAUGAGGGGUAUGUUAAGACUAAACCUAGACAACGAGCAUGAGGUCUUUUAACCUAAUAUACCGAAUUGCCCACCAGGAUAAAAGGGAGCCGUACAGCCAAGAAAAAGACACCGAGUUGUUAAAAAGAAUGAGUAGUCAUUAUAUCAAUAAUUUCGUGUGGUCUGUUCAAGAGAUACGGAAUCAAAUAGCAAACAGUAAACAAUCGAUAACGUCUGUGGCAGAACCUUGCCUAUAUCAACCUUGGCCACGAUAGAUGGACUGGAAGGGUCUGCUUGAAAGAAUAUUGAAGAUGGAGGAGGAGUAAACUUCGUACGAAAUCGACUCGGAUCAAAGGGGGAUUAAAUGUCUUUUCAUAGAAGGAGCAACGUCCAAACUCCUUACGUUUCAGGUUGGACUACGACUCAACUUAGACAAACGUCAAAAAAAGAUUAAGACUAGAGAUUAGUUAAGUAGUAAUGAAUCUAUUGGAAAUUCUAGAAGAGUGAUCCGUUAUAAAAUUUAAGUCUAAAUAGACCCUUCCACGUUCUUACCUCGAAGUUUGAACCGUUUAGGAUGUUAUUUUUUCUCUGAGGAGGUAAAAAUUGAAGCGGAGAAUAAAAAUAUAGUGCAUCGAUGAACAAGUACGGAAACUAAAUCCGAAAAAACGAAGAGGGGGGGAACACUAACGUCUAAAUAAAAUCGGGUCUCGCACGACCAUCGUUAAGUUUUAGACAAUUUUAGUAAACCAAACGUUAGAUAGAGAUAUACCCAGCUAAACAAGAGACAUGAGAAUAGGACAUCCUUCAAACCCGGAUACCCGUUUAGAGACAUGUUACUUAGUCCAGUCACAACAUAGUUGCCAAACAAACCAAAUCAACAAACGGAGGGAGGUGUGUAACCAACGUCCUGACCUAGACCUUACACCUCUAGGGACACCACAACAUACAGCUUCCCCUAACUCCGUCCAGUCUAAACUUAGCACGCCAGCACACCAAGAGUAGUACACAAGGUAGUAGUAGUCGAUUAUACUCCACCUAAACUCCAGGACCGCCUGAGAAUAACAUCGUUGACUAGCAAACCACACACAAACACGAGAAAACGAACGUCGUCCUCCCAUCAUCAAGACGUAUCUACUUAGUAUCCCACCUCUAAACCAGAGACAAGUAGUAAAACUAACUAACCUAAUAGUUCGAAACCUAGAGAAUGGUUGGACUUGAAGACUAGACGCAAACCUAUUAUUUAAGGCGGGGCCAAGUUAAAUAAACCAAACGUUUUAUGUUAAAUCAGGAACCGUCAAGACUAGAUAUAAACACCAAAAGGUCUCUACCCCAAUUAACCACCUAUAAACCAAAGACAAGUAGUGAAACUGACUAACCUAACCUUGGACCACGAACGCCAGACGCAAACCAAUUACUUAAGACAGGUCUAAGUUAAAUAAACCAAACGUGUCAUGUUAAUCAGGAACCGUCAAAACUAGACAUAAACAAUAAACAAACACCAAAAGGUUUUUAACCCGAAAUCGUCCUCGUUGGAUAGAAGAACAACUAGACAUUAACCUACUAAUACUUGGGGAGAUAAAUUAGGUGUUAAGUUAAAAUCAGGGACUGUUAAGACUAAACCUAGACAAUUACCAACAGGUCUUUAACCCUAAUACCGAAUCGCCCUCACUGGAUAGAAGAACGACUGGACACAAACCUACUAGUAAUGAGAGACGAAUUAAAGAAGAGGUGUCGAGUUAAUCAAUAGGCUGUUAAGACUAAAUCUAAACAACGACCAAGAGGUCUUUAACUUGUAUAUGCCGAAUCGCCCACUAGGAUACAAAGGAGCCGUACCGCCAAGAAGGACACCGGGUUUGUAUAGACUGGAAAACAGGAGGGAACUAAUAACUUAAAGGAUCUGUAAUGAAAGAAACGGAAUCAACCAUUAAGAAUCCAGGACGUCUACGACCGGACCUUCGCUUUAUUAACCUUGGUCACAACAGGUCUUUAACCCUAAUACCGAAUCGCCCUCACUGGAUAGAAGAACGACUGGACAGAAACCUACUAGUAAUGAGAGACGAAUUAAAGAAGAGGUGUCGAGUUAAUCAAUAGGCUGUUAAGACUAAAUCUAAACAACGACCAAGAGGUCUUUAACCUGUAUAUGCCGAAUCGCCCACUAGGAUACAAAGGAGUCGUACCGCCAAGAAGGACACCGGGUCGGAUCAAAAGGACAAUUGAAUAUCUUUCCAUAGAAGGAGCAACGUCCAACAUCAACUACUUGAGUUCAGGUUGGACCACGACUCAACUUAGACAAACGUCAAGAAGAUUUAGAUGAUAAAAGAGUUCAGUAGUAUUGAAUCUGUUGGAAAUCUUAAUAGAAUGGUCCUUUAUAAAACUUAUGUCUAGACGUUUCCAAGUUGUUACCUCUAAGUUUGAUUACCUUGUAGGAUGUUACUUUUCUGAUAAAAAUUGGGUGGAGAAUAUAAAACAAAGUGCAUCGAUGAACAAAUACGGAAAUUAAAUCCAAAAAGAAAGAUGGGAGGGAAACCAACGUCUAAUUCGGGUUUGGUACGACCAUCACUUAGCCUUAGAGACAAUUUUAGCAAACCAAACGUUAGAGAGAGAGAGAGACCUAGCUAAACAACAAACAUGAGAACUAGGGGCACGACCGGAAGACGCACAUAGUCAACGUCCUAUAUAAAUCCCUCAGACCCGGAUACACGUCCUAUAUAAACCUAUACAACCACCAAGAGGUCUUUAACCUUAAUAUACCGAAUCGCCCUCGCUGCGUAGAACGACGAGAUACAAACCUAUUAAUAGUGAGAGACAAAAUGAGAAAGCAGAGGUGACAAGACAAAACCAAAGGGUGUUAAGAUUAAAUAUGAUAAAGAACCACCGAGAGGUCUUUAACCUUAUUAUACCUAAUCUUCCGCCAGGAUAAAACGGAGCCGUACCGUCAAGGAAGAUACUGAUUUUUGGAAAAGUUGGAAAAAAUGAGAUAUUAACUUGAGAGAUCUGUAAUCCAAAAGAAACGGAAUCAUGAAUAGUCGAGAACGUCUAUGACUGAACCUUUCCUAUAUUGACGUCAAACCUUGGCCGCAACAACAGGAGGUAGUAGGUAUGGACUGGGAUCUGUCCGAAAUGAACAAGGGUGAGUUAGUAGGUACGAAAUCGAUAAAUAUUCGUCGUAAAGGGGAUUGUUAAAAAAAUAUCUUUGCCAGAGAACGAGCGACGUCCAACAUCAACUGUUUGAGGACAGGUCGGACUACUACUUAGGUAGAUGACUAGAAGCUUCAGAUGUCACAGCAAAGUUAAGUAACGUUGAAUGUAUUAGAUAUUUAAUAGAAUGAUCUGUUAUAAAAUUUAUGUCUAAGUAUACGUCGUGCUUAUAUAUCCUACUAGGUCUCUAAAGUUGAUUACCAAGUAGGAUGUUGGCUUUUUCUGAUAUUGGAAGGAAAAAAAUUUAAAGUAAAUCAAUGAACCGGUAGAGAGACUAUAUCCAAAAACGGGGACGGGAAGGAUACCAACGUCUAAAAAGAAAUCGGGUCCGGUACACCCGCUACUGAUUGAGAACUAGGGACACAAAAUAACCAGAAGACGCACACACCUCAACCGUUAUAUAUUAAAAAUAAUCCUCAAACCCGGGUUUGGAAACGAGACAUGUACGUCAGUCCAGUCACAGAGCAUCUGCCAGACAAACAAAGUACACAAUAGCGGCGGAGAUGUUAAACCGAACGUCCUGACCUAGAACUAGACCAGACCUUCAUUUAGAGGUACACCCAACACUUGCAUACCACUUCCCCUGAGCUCCGUCCGGUCAAAGGGUACAAAGCAGUGUAAUCAAAUGACCUAAGGAGUAGACACGAACCACUACAGUCUAAACUCACCGUGUAAUUCAAGAAGCUAAAUACAAGCAGACUACCGACAAACCCUAGAAGCAAACCUUAGAAGACGUUGGUGUUUUUGAAUGUGAACCUGAGGUACGGACAAAGUUGACUAAAUGAUCUAAAGUGAUACCAGACUGAAAGGAACUUCUUUGAAAUUCAUACGACUAAUAUAAACCCGGCAAGUAACUAAACGUAACAACCUCCAAAAUAACGUUCUGACAUCUCAACCUAUCAGUCAAUCGCGCCCCUGAACCACUUCGUUUACCUGAAAGGACUACCAAAACUGGAGACUAAUGACUAGGACUUCGUAUUACUAAACCAGAAACACUACAAAAAGUCAAACUUGAACGUAAGUCACCGGAGUAUAGAAACCACGUCGAACCUCAACCAUCACACGUGUAGACUACUAAGAAAGUUGACAGGAUUUCGUAGAAUGGACCAAAGACAACACGGUAGGACGACCAAUGCCAGAGAAUAAGUUGAACGUACACCAAACCUACCUUAUACUAGAAUAGAAAAUGAGCUUAGUUCUUUUACGAUCUUCAGAGUUUGUUCCCAGGUUUUACCUUUAUAGUCAAGGAUGAGUCAAACAUAUCGUCUAAUAGCUUCAAACUGAACCGAUAAUUAAUGGACCAAUGGUAUGACAAAGUACUUCAAACCAAAACCAUAAACCGACGAACAUAGAAAGUUGAACGUUUAAAUAGUGGGUUAUCCUUCAUUUCUAGUAUACAUGUACUCGAGACUUACGUCAUUUUUACAAUUUAGUAUAAUAUACUUAUAUACACUUAACCAGUAUGAACCUAAAUAGUCAGAUGAUAAGAUGUAUGAGAACAGGUACUAACAUGAACCAAACAAAUAUAUGCAAGAAAUCCAAGUAGAAUACUGUGUUUAGUUUAAAAUCACACGUGUAUUAAAAAUUGACUUUCUAGGGUGGGAGCGUAAACACAACCAAAUUGUCAUCACCGGAGGACAUCAAACCAUUAUAACUACUGAAACUAUAAACCUAUAAUUUCUACAAUCCUCAUAUUUUGUUACCUCUCAACUUCCAAGACUUGAUCUUCGAACUUGUUUAUAAAACGGGACUUGUGAGGAGUACAGGUGACUUAUACUAAGACCAAACAACUAUACCUCAACUAAAAGUCUUCACUACAAUAAGUGUAACCACGAAGAGAACACUCUAGACCUAAGAAGUUACGUAGAAGAGCCAAACGACCCCUUGAAGGAUGCAAUUUAACUGUUGAUUGUUUUUUUAGACCGAUUAAACUGCUAAGUAUUUGUGAGACCGUUUAAACUACUACUUAGGGCGACUAAUGAAAGUUGUAUGUCGUCAAACAAAAGUAUGGAGUAAGCAGGACCUAAAUUUCUGUGUAGAGAUGCCAGAAGGUUACCGAGUAAACUAGAGAAAUGUCGUUUGACGAUUAAACUAGAACUAAUACCUUAGAUGGUAAUGUAUAAGAAUAAUUUAUAUAUUAUUAAAGUAUCGCAAAUGUGUAGACUGUCAGGAGAUUACCGAUUAAACUGGAAGAAAAGCCGGCUUGACGAUUAAACUAUACCUAAUACCUUAGAAGUUAAUGCAUUUAGAUAUUAAAGUAUCGUAAGUGUAGACCGACAGGAGAUUACCGAUUAACUGGAAGAAAAGACUGCUUGACGAUUAAACUAGACCUAAGACUUAGAACUUGGUGUAUAAGAGAAAUUAAUGUAUAAGCAUCAAAAGACCUUUAAAGGAUCAAAAUUAUAUCAACCGUUGAUCGUUUUCAUGAUUAAACUACUAAGGACAACUAACGAAUCUGUUUGG
RNAcentral lists this ribosomal RNA (6950 nucleotides) under Triticum aestivum (bread wheat). RNAcentral's name for it is "partial small subunit ribosomal RNA". Lineage: Eukaryota; Viridiplantae; Streptophyta; Magnoliopsida; Poales; Poaceae. The record is from RNAcentral.